RNAcentral lists this long non-coding RNA (4030 nucleotides) under Malus domestica (apple). RNAcentral describes it as "long non-coding RNA (MDOM_LNC016601)". Lineage: Eukaryota; Viridiplantae; Streptophyta; Magnoliopsida; Rosales; Rosaceae. The record is from RNAcentral.
GUGGGGGUGGGCGGAGGGGGAAGAGAGAGUGUGUUUUGACUUGGAGGUUUCACUUUUUUUGGAGCAGUGUGGGGUGACGUCUAAGACUCUAACUCGUGCGGUGGUCAUACAUGAUUUGAUGACUUUUUGGACUCUGAUCCCCUGCAGCUGAUUUGGUUUUGGAAAGAUUGGAAUAUACGGUCAGGAUUCAGAUCCAUGAAUCUCUCUUCUGGGUUUUACUGAAAUUAAUUAGUAGCUGAGCUUAAAUGUUUUUUUUUUUUUGGAGGUAAUAAUUACUUUAUGGCGGUUAACUUAUUUAGAUGUAAAUCUUUUUGUUACAACUUACAAGUAAACAAUUCUUUUUUUAGGGUAAAAUCAAGUAAACAAUUCUUAAUUCUGGCACUGGCACAUAUUGGUUUUACAUAAGAGUAAUGUUAGGGAUACUAAGUUAAAUUUUGUAAACUAAAUGACAUAGAAGUUAUUGAUUACAUUAUUACUUAAGCAUUGAUUAACAUGUUUAUUUUUUAUUGAUGACAUAUAAUUUAAUUUACAAAUUUAGUUAUCCUAACAUUUUCUCAAUAAAAAAUGUAAAUCAUACGAAGUUAAUUGAGACCCGUGUUUUGGUUCUAUCGGUUUUCCACAUGCUAAUCGUAUUUUAUCAAUAGAAAAUAAAAAGGAAAACUAAUGAAAAUGGCUUGAAAACUUUGAGUUUUAACGAUAAGGACAAAAUAAAGGGUAAAGUGAAUAGUACCAGAAUUGACUUUUUAGUGUAAAAAUGUGAUUUUUCGUUAAAGUGAACAGUACCGAGAGCUUUUUGUUAAAAUUCCCAAAAUAAAAAGCAUAUAAGCUUGAGCAACAUAAUUAAUUAUUUGGGGGUAGGACGAAAAAUGCGACGGAAUUACUUAUGGGUUGGUUUAAGUGACUAGAGAAGAUGAAAAAUGAGUUUUCAAGUGCGAUACAUUAAGAGAUAUCAGCAUCAUAAGUGAAAGCGAAGAAACAAACAAUCUCAAAAUAAAAACACAUCAGAUUAACGUGGUUCAGUGUAAAAGCAUGUAUAAUGAUGAGGUCGAUAAUCUCAAGUUGUUUCUAUAGAUAACAUGUGAAUAUGUAUCAUCAUUUUGAACAUAAGUUAAUAAUGAAAUGAUACCUUACGGACAUUUCGUAUAUUAACUAAUUAGUUUAAUCUAAGGAUAAAAAUAUUAUUUAAAGUCGUCUCAUUACAUGUUAUAUGCUGAAGCCGUCUCAUUAAAUGUUAUACACUUAAACAAUAAGUCCAAUGAAUAUGUAACUAAGAGAAUAUAAUCUAAAAAAGUUAAAUUCAUGAGGCAUUUCUCAUUCAUACAGAUAUCUUAAAUGUUCCUAAUCAUAGAUUGACUCUCACCAAACAAAUGGAGAUGAAAAAUGAGUGUCUUAACUCUCAUCACCCAAAUCUCACAAAUUACAACCCUAAACCCAAGGAAGAAAAUAUCGGUAAUAUCGGAAAUAUCGGUAGUCCGAAAACACGGAAAUAUCGAUGGAAAUAUCGGUAAAAUAUCGAUAUCGAUAAAAAUUACAUGGAAACCACGGAAAUUGUAAGAAAACUUGGAAAUUUUAAUUGAAACUUUGCAAGAUGUUUAUUUAGUCAAUUAUCUAUUAGUUUAUCAUAAAAAAUUGGAAGGAAAUGCAUUGCAUGAUGGAUUUAACAUUAUCAAGUUGAUUAUAUAGCGAGCUGACAAACAUUGUGAGUAUAGAAAAUAUGUAGUAAUUAAUGAAAGAAGUUUAAACACACCAUAAUCAUUUAUAUAUAAUGAAUUAUGUACCAUUCAAACAACGAGGAGUGUGCCAAUGCUCUUAAUCAGGUUGGAUAGACCUGAAGUCGUUGCUAGAGAUGUGAUUUAGGUAUAAAGUUACUUAGCAUUGUAUCGCAUUCAUCCAAACAACUAACUUUCUCAUGUUCGUACCUAAUCACAUGUUCAAUUGAUUUUGGUCAAAUGUUUAGGAAACAUGAUUCAAUUAACUCAUAUUCGAGGACAAAAAAUCAUUAGUGUGAACAUAGAAAAGAAGAAAUUCUUGGAUAGUUGGACUAUCAAAACUUGUUUACCAAGUAAAUGGCAAGAGAAAGGUUAUAUAAAGUUUCGAACAAGCAAUCCUAAGAUUUUAUUCUUCGUCAUAAUUAUAAGCCACUUUGUGAAACCCCACCCCAAAAGAUUUUGUAAAUUCGCAUUUUUCCCCCCAAAAGGUUUAUUAAAUUUUGCAUUUUAGUCCCCUAUCUUCAUCCAAUCAAAAUCUCAUUUUCAGAUUUUCUAAACCUGUCCUCCUAUCAUUGCUUGCCACGUGGCAAGCACUCACCUAUCUCUCUCUUCUCCCCGUACCAACUCUCAUUUCUCUCUCUCAAGUCUCAGCUAACUCACAUCUCUCUCUCGCCGAUCGAACCCACACCCACACAUCGAGGUACCAGAGCCACCCCGACGACGGCGCAGCAGCACCACCACACGCACAGAGACUCUCAAAACUCUCAUCUCUCUCCGUCCUUUCUCUCUGCAGUCUGCACCCAGAGUCCGAGAGUCCGAGAUUCACACAUGCUUCAGGAAUACACCCACCUCGGCUUUCUCCCUCUCCUUCUCGUCUCUGCAACUCGGCGAACGCAGGAACCCUCCGACGAGUUUCUUGAAUUUCUCCGGUUAGGUAAGCUUCGGGUUUACCUCUUUCUGUUGAAUCUGUUAUAGAUUGAAGCUUAGAUGUGAAAUUGAAGUUCUAUCUCGUGUUUUUGCAAGGUUUUUGGAUGAAAUCGGCUCGGGAAUAGGCACACCCAUCUCCGGCCUUCUUCUCCAAUGUGCACAGAUCCGAAAUUUUACGAAAAUAUCGAUAAUAUCGAUAAUAUCGCGAUAUUUUCGAUAUUUUCGAUAAUAUCGCGAUAUUAUCACGAAAACCAUUUGGAUAGUGAUAAAAAUAUCGGUCUCUUUAAAAACCGAUAAUAUCGGCGAAAUAUCGCCGAUAUUAUCGAUUUUUUCUUCCAUGCCUAAACCAAACAAGUAGAGAAUCCAAACAAACAGAGUAUUCUCUCCCAAAUUGAUCUCUAACUCUCAAACUCACAAAUUGUCAAAUGAAUGAGCCAUGAAUUUGCCAUACUCAUGACUCCAAACCCUAAACUAAUGGAGAGACACACAAAAUUAACUAAUGGCGAGGCACACAAAAUAAACUAACCCAGUUGGAUCAAUGACUCAAAGAUGGCAUGAUUAAGCAAAUAAUUGCUUACUCAAGUGAGGCGUGGUGUGAAAGCUAGAAGUUUAUCAGUUUAGCAUGAGAGAGAGAGAAAAAGAGAGAGAGAGAGAGAGUUUGCAUGGAUACAUGAUAUUCUUGGUUGGGUAAUCUGGACUUCCUAGGGUAAUAACAAUGCUUCUAAUGGCCGGGAUGAUAAGAGGGAGGUUAUGGAAAACACUAAGGUUGCAGGGGUGAUGCUUCCUGAGUUUUGAGGCUGCUUACAAUUAGGGAGAUACUUCCUUAGCUUGGUGCAGUACAAUCCUUAAUUCUGUCUAACGUUCUAUCUCUCUCUGGCCUCAUCAUCAAAGGUCCCUAACCUCCCCUUUGUAGGUGAAUGAUUCUUUUCUAGCUUCCUAAGGAAUUUCUAGUUGUGGCUAAGUCCCCCCCCCCUCUUUCUUCUAGUGUAGCUACAACCUUCCCUUUUAGUGUAAAAUAGAUGAGUGUCGCUAGCCUUGUGAUGUCUUUGCUACGCCUUCUUCUCGAGGCGCUACUUUCCCGGUUCAGCUUCCACAAACGUUACUUAUGAUAACUCGUCUCUUGGCUUUCAUUCGCCAUUCUUUUGCGUGAGUUAGGAAGGGAAGCCAACCUCUCUUCAUUAAAUGCAUGCUCCGUUAUGUGACUUACUUAAUUAGGGUUUGGUGCCUUCCUAACUAGAUUGGUUGGCUUGCUAGGGAAAGAAGGAAACUAGGUUUGCACGCUCUCAAACCUACCCACGUGGACUUCAAAGCUUAUGGGCUUGAAUCUUUCAGCCCACAAGCAGUCCAAAGUCUUCCUUCCAUAAUAUUGACUUUGUGUAGACCCGAUAAACUUC